CUCCUACGGGAGGCUGCAGUGAGGAAUAUUGGUCAAUGGGGGGAACCCUGAACCAGCCAUCCCGCGUGCAGGAAGACAGUUCUAUGGAUUGUAAACUGCUUUUCUUGGGGAAGAAUAAUGACGACGUGUCGUCAGAUGACGGUACCCGAGGAAUAAGCAUCGGCUAACUCCGUGCCAGCAGCCGCGGUAAUACGGAGGAUGCAAGCGUUAUCCGGAUUUAUUAGGUUUAAAGGGUGUGUAGGCGGAUGUAUAAGUCAGUGGUGAAAGUCAGCAGCUUAACUGUAGAAUUGCCAUUGAUACUGUAUGUCUUGAGUGUGGUUGAGGUAUGCGGAAUGUGUAAUGUAGCGGUGAAAUGCAUAGAUAUUACACAGAACACCGAUUGCGAAGGCAGCAUGCUAAGCCACAACUGACGCUGAUGCACGAAAGCGUGGGGAUCAAACAGGAUUAGAUACCCUGGUAGUCCACGCUGUAAACGAUGAUUACUAGCUGUUGGCGAUACAAAGUCAGUGGCCAAGCGAAAGCAAUAAGUAAUCCACCUGGGGAGUACGAUCGCAAGAUUGAAACUCAAAGGAAUUGACGGGGG
This 583-nucleotide ribosomal RNA is filed under the name uncultured bacterium. Its description in RNAcentral is "bacterial SSU rRNA". It matches the Rfam family "Bacterial small subunit ribosomal RNA", at positions 336 to 919 of the family's 1533-position model. The record is from RNAcentral.